Molecule: small nuclear RNA, 210 nt
Filed under: Helianthus annuus (common sunflower)
Lineage: Eukaryota; Viridiplantae; Streptophyta; Magnoliopsida; Asterales; Asteraceae
Description: U2 spliceosomal RNA
Rfam family: U2 spliceosomal RNA
About the family: U2 is a small nuclear RNA (snRNA) component of the spliceosome (involved in pre-mRNA splicing). Complementary binding between U2 snRNA (in an area lying towards the 5' end but 3' to hairpin I) and the branchpoint sequence (BPS) of the intron results the bulging out of an unpaired adenosine, on the BPS, which initiates a nucleophilic attack at the intronic 5' splice site, thus starting the first of two transesterification reactions that mediate splicing.
Source: RNAcentral
AUGCCUUUCUCAGCCUUUUGGCUAAGAUCAAGUGUAGUAUAUGUUCUUAACAGUUUAGUAACAAAACUAAUAAAGUCAAUAUCGGACUUCAAGUCGUAUAUAUUGCAUCAUUGCAUGACAUCUUAGGGGCUGUUUGUUUACCUCUUAAUGAGGCUCUUAAUGGUUCAGACUGUUUGUUUCACGAGCAGAUAUCUGAAUGGUUCAGACAUU